This 481-nucleotide long non-coding RNA is filed under the name Brassica napus (rape). RNAcentral's name for it is "long non-coding RNA (BNAP_LNC020236)". The record is from RNAcentral. Lineage: Eukaryota; Viridiplantae; Streptophyta; Magnoliopsida; Brassicales; Brassicaceae.
UUUACAAAAUUAACACUUCAAACAAAUUAUGCAAAUAUAUGAGAUUGAUUUUUAAAAAAAAAAAUUAUUACAUACAAUACAAUUUGGUAAUAUUUUCUAAGUUACACAGUCUAUUCAUUUGAUUUGACCUAAAUCCCCUGGACUAUAUUUGUGAAGUGAUUUUGCCACAUGUCGUUUAUACAAUCAAUUUCACAAAACAAAUAUGACAUGGCUACUGAAAUUGAUGACAUGUCUUAUAACUUAAUAUGACAUGGACAAUUGCAUUUAAUGUUAAUUUAUAUUUUUGGUAAAUUUUUUAAAAUAUAGUAUUAACUCAUAUAUUACAUUUAAUGUCAAUUUAUAUUGGGCAAAUCUCCAAAAUAGCACCUUUCUAAGUUUAUAUCACAAAAAUAGCACUCAAAAACUAAAAUGACCAAAAUAGCAUCUUUCUAAGUUUCUCCUUUGAAAAUUUUAAUUUUUUUAUUUUUCAAAAUUUGAAAUC